AGAAUCAACGCUGGCGGCGUGCCUAACACAUGCAAGUCGAACGAGAAAGUGGAGCAAUCCAUUAGUAAAGUGGCGCACGGGUGAGUAACACGUGACUAACCUACCCUUGAGUGGGGGAUAACCUAGAGAAAUCUGGGCUAAUACCGCAUAAUACCUUCGGGUCAAAGGAGCAAUUCGCUUAAGGAGGGGGUCGCGGCCGAUUAGUUAGUUGGCGGGGUAAUGGCCCACCAAGACUAUGAUCGGUAUCCGGCCUGAGAGGGCGCACGGACACACUGGAACUGAAACACGGUCCAGACUCCUACGGGAGGCAGCAGUGGGAAUUUGCGCAAUGGGGGAAACCCUGACGCAGCAACGCCGCGUGGAGGAUGAAGCCCCUUGGGGCGUAAACUCCUUUCGAUCGGGACGAUAAUGACGGUACCGAGAGAAGAAGCCCGGCUAACUCGCGCCAGCAGCCGC
RNAcentral lists this ribosomal RNA (456 nucleotides) under uncultured bacterium. RNAcentral's name for it is "SSU rRNA". It matches the Rfam family "Bacterial small subunit ribosomal RNA", at positions 26 to 518 of the family's 1533-position model. The record is from RNAcentral.